GUAUAUAUACAUAUCUGUUGUGUAUAUGCGUGAGUGUGGCCAUAUGUAUGUAUGUAUAUAUAUAUAUAUAUGCAAAUGUUUCACAUGGAAAUGUACAAGGAUAGGUUUGUAAUUACUUAGUGUUCGUGAGAAAUUUAACUUUGUUAUCAAAGGGAUAGGAGAAGGCCAAUCAAGCCUCAUCAUUGAAAACAUCAUUGACUACAGUAUCUCUUAGUUGUAUGUAGACAUUUGCAAGUUUAGACAGACAUGCGCAUACACAGAUAACAUGGCUGUGUUUAGAGGUGUAACACAAAACUGUUUCUUACAAUCUUGCAUUUAAUUAAGAAAAUACUAACAGGGUACUUGCACCGAUUCAAAAAGUUUAACAAAAUAAUCAUUAAGCAACUGGCACAAACGGAAUACCAUAUAUAACAACUAUACCGAACACGGAAUUAUUUUCUUGAAUUCUAGGAACAUUGAUUCCUGAAAAGACAAAAAUUAUUUUAUAGAGAAUAAUUUUCUUAAUUAUACACUGAAACAAAACCUAAGUAUGCAUAUGUAUAUAUAUAUAUAUAUAUAAAUAUAUACAUAUAAAUAUAUAUAUAUAUAUAUAUAUAUAUAUAUAUACAUACAUAUAUAUAUAUAUAUAUAUCUAUUUGGUGGGUGUUAGCGUGUGUAUGUAUAUAUGUAUAAAACAACCAGGAGUACAAAAGUUAUACUGUAUUUUUCUAGAUAUCCAGAAAUAUUUCAGGUAAGAAAGAAUCCAUCUAUACUGAAAUAAGCUUUAAAAAUGACAUACGGUCAUUACUUGCGUGAUAAACUUCAAUCAUGUUCUUCAGCUAUGUAUUUAUGUUUAUGAGUGUGAAGGUGGGUUUCUUACCAAAUGUCAACAAGACUGAAAUGAGGUUUUCAAUCAAGAUUUAAUGUUAAAAAGAAAUAGAUUUAUCCUUAAUUUUCAUUUUGAAUGAUUUUUCUCUUGUAAAGGAGAAAGUUAUUGAGAAAUUAGAAUCUUAUCAAAUGAGCUUCAAUAGUAUCGACAAACUUUGUUGAAAGGAAACGUCCAGAGUGGCUUGCCUGAAACGCAGAUUAACAUAAGUAAAAUACGCAAACAACUAAUUUUUAUAAUUUAAAGAAUAUAAUUGUUGAUAAGAGAAAAUAGAAAAUAGUAUAAGCUUUGCAGAAUUUCAUUCUCCAACAUUUAUGCGCGUGCGCAUUCAAUCCAUGACCCAAAUUUUGUAGCUCCAUUGGCUAGUUUGUUUGUGACCAACAGUGAAACUUUACCAUCUUUAAUCUCAAGUCAUCUUCUCUAUACCAGAGAAAAAUAAUUUCACAGUACAGAAGAACAUGAAAAGUUUCCUGGACCAGUCAUGUAAAAGAGGUUUGAAAAAAAUUAAUAACAGAACAAAAGAAGAUUCCUCUAGGAAACCAUUUUACAACAUUUACAAUUCACAACAAUUCACAAGUCUCUAUUAGUCAAGAUGCCUCACGGAGAGCUGGACUAAGCUUUUGAAUGCUGUCACUCCUCUGGCUAGGCGAGUAGGCCAAUAUUUGGCCCGAUCAGAAGACCACUCUGUUACAGGGUUACCCAUUUACAGGAGCAAAGUUCUGGCAAUAUUGUGACGAUGAAGAGAAACUGGAAAACAAAUGGAGUGAGGAGAAUGGGAGAAAGACAGCAACAAAAACAGAAAUGAAAGUUAAAUGUUAACGUCUGACAAGAAGAAACAUGUUACUGAUAACAGUGCUGGCUUUUGGCUACUUCCAAUGGAAAGGGUGGUGGGUAGCGGUAUGAAUUCCCUACUUAUUCCUGGGGACCAUCCUUCUAUGAACAUCCUACAUAUACUCAAGCCCAUAAUCAUCACACAUUUACACUUCCAGACAAAAGUAUUAUGUUGUUGCCAGUGGCUGGCAGAACUGGCAGGGCACCAGACACAUGUCUUUUUAAAUGAGAAAACAAAGGGUAGCCCCUUUGGCCAUCUUCAGAGAGACUGAUGGGGAAGAAAGGUUAAAGACCUGACCUAAAUGCUUGCAAAAGAGCAGACUCAACAAAAGGCACCUGAUGACCAGUUAGGGUUGUUAAAAGAGACAGGUUAAGCUGACCAUCAAGAAUAAAAAUAAUUCCUUCAUUCAAGUUC
Molecule: long non-coding RNA, 2111 nt
Organism: Octopus sinensis (East Asian common octopus)
Lineage: Eukaryota; Metazoa; Mollusca; Cephalopoda; Octopoda; Octopodidae
Exons: 6
Source: RefSeq, a predicted model, not a curated record